UGCUGUGAUGUUGUAAUUUGCGUCUUAUCUGGUGUUCAGCGACAGUUGCCUGCUGUCCACAUGCUGUCACUGUUGAGCUGAAGACUCUUUGAGCCUGAGCA
Molecule: small nucleolar RNA, 101 nt
Organism: Hemicordylus capensis (graceful crag lizard)
Lineage: Eukaryota; Metazoa; Chordata; Lepidosauria; Squamata; Cordylidae
Product: small nucleolar RNA SNORD16
Exons: 1
Source: RefSeq, a predicted model, not a curated record